ACUAUUGUAAAGAAUUACUGAUAAACAAAUUUUUCGAUAGUUAUACAGGUUGGAAAGGUGAGUUCAAAAUUGAUCUGACCUUCCUGAAGACAAAAGUUAAAAAUUUUAUCACCUAGCAAACAAGCUUAAAAGAGCAGACUAACAGCGAUGCAUAUUCUUUCAUCAGUUCAAUAAAUUCUAUUUCACUUAAAACUUACUUACCCUUUUACAGAAUGGUACUUAACUUCUCUGAGUCACAAAAGUACUCUAACUAUUAAUAUAAUUAACUGUCUACCGGUCCUCGGCAACACGUGUGACUUUGAGCCAGUUUUUCUACAUCUUAAUCAGUUUCUAUACUCUUACGCUCUACCGAUGCUGAAUUUAGCCCCUUUUUUCGAAGUUUCCCUCCAGGGUGUAAUCACUGAAUGAAAAUCUCUCUUGUUAGCCACAAACAUUAAAGGAUAUAAAUCAAGUCAUUAAUUUUUAAGGGUCUUGAUACCUCAUUAUAAGGUUAAGGUAUGAAUCAAUUCAGGGAUUAAAGGUAUUUUUCCUCAAGUCCUUAGUUACUUAGUACAAUCGUGACUGGAUCACGAAAUAGUUUUCUAACUUACGGUUGUAAGUCAAAUCCUUCAGUUGCCAAAGAAAUACGACAUAUUAAAUCCGACCUCGGGUCAGUAAAAUUCCUUUGUUAUCAUUUCUGUCCCUCUAAGAUCUGAGUUAAGGGUGAAUUAUGAAUUCUCAUCGUCACAUAAUCCAAGCAAUGAUUGCAUGUCGAAAAGACUUUCAGUUCAUAUUCCUAAGAUGUGCUCAGUUCAUCGAUGUCAAACUAGGAAAUAUUUCAUCUCACAUGCAUGCUCUAGUGUCUCAAAUACAGUAGUACCCUAUAAAACAAAGCUGUCCUGGAAAGUGAGGUGAGUGAGUCACCUUAAAACAAGAAAAUACGCAGAAGGAGACAGAAACUUUCAAGACUUCACUGAAAACCGUGAGUUCGCACACGAAAUUGGACGGUUGGUGAGGUGCAAUGGAUUUCUGGCAACAGCACAAGAGAGACCAGAGAAAUGCUCUUUCACUAAAAGACAGACUACUGAUCACGAUUUAGAAAGAUCACGUAACUGUACUCCAGGGCAUACCCGUUUCACUUUUUUAUGAUUGAAUGUAACACUGAGAAUUAAUGUAAAUAUAACCUUCUCAGAACUUCAAGCGAAAAAAUAAAUUGACAUAAUCAUGGGAAA
Molecule: long non-coding RNA, 1211 nt
Organism: Pocillopora damicornis (cauliflower coral)
Lineage: Eukaryota; Metazoa; Cnidaria; Anthozoa; Scleractinia; Pocilloporidae
Source: RefSeq, a predicted model, not a curated record